UCUGGUAUGAAAGGUUUGACGAGAUAUUAACUGUUUCAUAAAAAUUUAUAUUAGAAUUUUAUUUUUUAGUUAAAAAGCUAAAAUUUAUUUAAAAGACGAGAAGACCCUAUAAAUCUUUAUAUUUAAAUUAUUAUAAUUUUGUAGAAUUUUUUUAUUUUAAUAAUUAAUAAUAUUUUAUUGGGGUGAUAUUAAAAUUUAAUAAACUUUUAAUUUUUUUUAUCAUUAAUUAAUGAAUAAUUGAUCCGUUAUUAACGAUUAAAAAUUUAAGUUACCUUAGGGAUAACAGCGA
This 289-nucleotide ribosomal RNA is filed under the name Hydrotaea chalcogaster. RNAcentral describes it as "partial 16S ribosomal RNA". The record is from RNAcentral. Lineage: Eukaryota; Metazoa; Arthropoda; Insecta; Diptera; Muscidae.